This 253-nucleotide ribosomal RNA is filed under the name uncultured bacterium. Its description in RNAcentral is "partial 16S ribosomal RNA". It matches the Rfam family "Bacterial small subunit ribosomal RNA", at positions 524 to 776 of the family's 1533-position model. The record is from RNAcentral.
UACGGAGGGUGCAAGCGUUAAUCGGAUUCAUUGGGCGUAAAGAGCACGUAGGCGGAGUGGAAAGUUAGAUGUGAAAUCCCGGGGCUCAACUUCGGACCCGCAUCUAAAACUCCUAUUCUAGGGGAUGGACGGAGAAAAGGGAAUUCCACGUGUAGCGGUGAAAUGCGUAGAUAUGUGGAAGAACACCGGUGGCGAAGGCGCUUUUCUAGUUUAUUCCUGACGCUGAGGUGCGAAAGCAAGGGGAGCAAACAGU